UCUCUUCAAUCCCCUCGCCGCUAUUCCUCACCGAUACUCUUGUCGCAAACACGACGCACUGACGUGGCGUUAAAUUUUCCGCCGCAACCGCGUGAUACUUACGGCUGCCGCGAGAGUCGCGUUGCAGAGACGUUUCGAGUGAAUCGAACGAAUCGUUCGGCAUUCUCUGCCCUCAUCGUCCGACGAAAAAACGUCGAGGGGAGGAAUACAGGAAGAAAAGAUGAAGAGACAAUGACAAGAAGACGACAGAAUAGAUGAACAAGGACAGAGUCGUUGACGAUGAUCGUGAUGAUGACUGACGUCGAUGAGUGCCAACGCGACCCUCAGCGUCCCUCCGACCCGUGAAGGAGGCUUCUUGUCAAAGAUCGAGAUCAGCUGACCGAGCAGACGUCGGCGUCAGCUGAUUUUGACAGCCGCAGCGACCUUGUGCGCGUCCUUGCGGCACGUGCCACCGACCAAUCCGGUCAUCCGGCACGCAGCCAUCUCGACCAAUGAGAAUGCAGUGAGACGCACAGUGCGUUAACAACCGAAAUUACCGGAGCAGCAACAAGCCAAACACACGCGACCAGCACACCACCACUGGUACAAAACAAAAUGAUUUUUUUCUCGUCCUUAUCCGUGACCUCUCCAAUGUCGAGAGCCACUCCAAGUACCUCGUUGACCUCCCUUUCGAGGGCACCUAGUUCGGCUACGUGUACGUUGUAAAACAGCUGAUUCAAGGCGCAUGGAAAAUAUACGUACUGCCUAUAGGUCUACACUGACUCCACAUACCUAUAUGUAUAUAUACAUAUACAUGCCAACAAAAGAUAUUACGAAAAAAAUACCAAAAAUUCAUUCCCAAUAAGAGUUUUCAAAAUUAAUCACAGUCAAUGAUCCAUCUAAGGAUCCUGCUACGUAAGCGAGCUUGUUAUCAAGCAGAUAUCACUGUACAGUGAUAUAACUGAUAACGACACCAAAUGGAUCCUCGUAUUGGAUAACCCUUGAUAUAUCAGUGACGUACAGAGACACAAACAUAGUAUACCUGGCAUAUGUAAUAUUUUGACGUUUCGAGCGCAGGGAUCAAGCUGGACUACAUGCACAUAGAUUCUAUGUGUUCCAGAGUUUACACUGGGCUAGAUGAGUAGGCAGCGUGUUGGCUAUAUUCACCCCCAAGUGACUCGCGCAACCCCGAUCAAUAAUUCAUUUCCCAGCUGUCACGCUUCCCCAGCAAUGCUACUACCUACCACCACCGACGCCAUUAUCACCCCCCUAUUGCCACCUCCACUAUCAGUAUCACUAGGACCAGCACUACCCCACCGUCAUCAUCGGACACACUGACAGCGUCAUGAACGCACACAGGCGCUUACUCAAUUCCCACUUGUCCUUCUUCCUCGUCCUGUCACGGUCACCUUCAACCUUCAACCUUUUCAAUCUGCCCUACCCAAUCCAACACGCAGUGACGGCACGAGUGACCGAUAAGGAUGGCAAAAGGAAUGCCGCAUCCCUCAGGGUUACGUUCCAGCCUUAAUUACUAAGCUACGGAUUAUUUUCGUUAUUUAAAAUUGUUUUUUUUUUUAAUAACGUGGGACUCGACUCCUCGUAAGAUUUGGCUUUCUCUCGCUGCGUUCCUUUGAAAAAUAAAGGGAAACGGUUAAUCGUGCCUUAUGGUAUCGGAGAAUGAUUUUCUUGUUUCUCUAUGUUCGUCAAUCUUGACUAUGGUUAUGUUCGUCAUCUCUUGCUCUGGUUAGUCUCGUGAAAAUCCAAGUGCGUCGCCAACGCCCCCAGAAAACUGAGAUACCACCAGCUGUGUUCACGCGCUUCUUUACCUACCGAGUGAACGCAGAGUGGCUCCCUGUUCUCCGAGUGCACUUUUGGUUUCCCACCAACAGCUUUUCUUAUCGACAGAGAGUAAAGAUCCCUUCCCUCGGCUGCUGGACAUUUUUUUCUGACAAAUUUUCAUUCGCUUGACCAAACGAGUCCACGCGUGUUAUCUGCAAGAGCCAGGCAAGGCUCAUCUUGCUCGAUCGAUUCGGCUUCAGGACGGAUUCAGCUUCCAGCUGUGACUCGGAGUCUGUCGUACCGGAUGGGACGGUGGGCUAUCAAGGUCGACCUACUCGGCAGUACGUAUCCAGACGAAUCUUCCGAAGUGACUUUGUGGACCAGUACAAGGACGAAGUUUUCAGUGAGGACUUUCACUGAGAUAUCAAAAGUAUAAACGAGGUUUUUUAAGGCCUAUGUAUCAAGGCUUUAAACGUAUUGUGACUGAAGUCACUUCUUCGAGCCUCCGUCGACGGAGACGAUUUCUACGUUUUGGGAAAUAACGACUUGUGUCCCUUCCUCGUCCGGCCAGGAAGAGGAAAGAGGGUUCUUGUCACUCCGAGUAGACCCUGACGUGGCAGGAGACAGUCCAUUUUCAACUGUGACGUAACAAUAGACUUCACAGGGUUCGUCCUCACGAAAAUUCAUACACGAAAUAAAGGCAAAUUCAAUUUUCAGGAUUUCAGCAUCCCUCGUGAAAUUCACGGCUUCUCGUAGAAACAAGUCAAAGUAUGAACGUCGGCCGAGAUGUUAAAUUACGAAAUUCUUAUCAAUAAUCGAAAUCGACGGUAACUCGCUCUACAGACUUAUUCUACUGAAACGUGAUCAUGAAAUAAAUUGAAUUUCUAUCUACCCAAUGUAGCGGCUCUUUAUGCUUGUUUUAUAUUAAUGCUUCGUGAUAGAAGUGCUGCCAUCUCUCAAUACAAAGGCAAACAACGUAGCACGGCCAAUGCGUGAACCUUAUCUGCGAAAGGGGUUGAGCGACUCAAUAAAAAUUGAUCGUAAAUAAUAUAAAAAAGGAUUCAAAACGCAAUUACCCACAUUUAUUAUCUCAUUGACAAUCCCGACAGCCCUUCUCACUGUAAUCUGAAGCCUUGACAGCCUUCGAUAACGUUGGUUCGAUAGACUAUCGAUACUUCCAAUUGUAUCAUGUGAAAAAUAUACGGGCUCAGAAAAUAUAAAAAAUCCGCCAAGUACCCAACAAACAGUACAGCUUUUAUUAGAGGGGGGAAAGAAAAACUUGUUUUCCAAAUCAAUAAGUUUAUCGCAAGAAGUACCAAGUCCUUCUUUUAAUUAUGCAAAGGCUUAAGGCCAGACCAAGGAGAGGGACGUGAAACUUCACGAUGGGGUCUGCGCACAGCAAUUUCCCAACGAGAUCGAUACUUUCUGUGUUCGUGAAUUUCCCAAAGAUCAUGUAUCCAAAAAUUUACCCAUCCCCCCUACCUCGAUCAUUUUUUUUUUUGCGAAACCAACGAUCUAGCAUAUCUGGUAUUUUCCUUCUUUUUUUUCAUUUCUACAAUUUUUAGUAGCCUCGACCGCCUCUGGUCCAACCACUCUUCCUUCUUGCGCCUUCGCUUCUCAUAUUUCCUUCGUUCUUUUUUGUUCCACCUCAAUUCACGGCUCCAUCACGUUUCUUUCUCUUCGUUGUUCUAUACGUCUUUCUACUUUUUCUUCUAGCGGUUGGACCUUACCAGCGUAAUACACGAGAAAGAGAGAGAGAGAGAGAGAGAGAGAGAGAGAAGACGAGAAUGAAAUCGCCUCCAUUUCGCUCGAGCAUAAAUAAAUCUUUCCCGAGGUUCCGGCAAGUUUUAUUGCCUCCAAUUGGCAGAAAAGACAUUUUUACCCGACCCGAGUAAAUUCGAGAAUUCCGCGAAUGCGAACCCGGCCGAGCAGCAUUUUCAUCGUGGAAUGCAUCGACGGAAAUCGUUAAGUUAAUUGAUCGAGCGUAACAAAAAAAAGAAGACGGCGCCUUAACCGUAGAUAAGAGGAGCCAUCGAGAGAGCAAUACAACAAGCAGCGAUAAGGAAUGAAAACGUUACGAACAGUGCGUCGUCCCAUUUACCAGAGGAUAACCAAGUUAAUUGCGCAAAAUAACGAGAAAAUUACGCCAUAGGAGGAAAAAAAUAAUAAUUUUAACCAAACCUGUGAAAUUCAUCGUUUGUCAAUACCGGAAAAGGGUAUUAUCGUCAGGAACGGCUACAUAAAAACAUACACCCGGUGACCAAAGAAAAAAUAUAAAAUUUCGACAAAUAAUACGUAAUACGAUUUCCUACUCAACUUUUAUACCCACCCCCCCUCUUCGUUUACUCUUUACCGUACUUCCCAUAAUUUCGUAUAAUCCAAAUACCAUGCGAUUUUCCAUUAUCACGUAAUCUGCCAGUUAUCGCACUCGUCAAUACUUAUCUUAUCCUACAGGCCAUGGACGACGAUACUUUUUCCAUACAGUUUACACGCUUCUCGCAGCUGGAGU
This is a long non-coding RNA of Cephus cinctus (wheat stem sawfly), 4267 nucleotides long. RefSeq lists it as uncharacterized. The transcript is spliced from 3 exons. Lineage: Eukaryota; Metazoa; Arthropoda; Insecta; Hymenoptera; Cephidae. The record is from RefSeq and is a predicted model, not a curated record.